Long non-coding RNA from Cryptomeria japonica (Japanese cedar), 778 nucleotides. RefSeq lists it as uncharacterized. The record is from RefSeq and is a predicted model, not a curated record. Lineage: Eukaryota; Viridiplantae; Streptophyta; Pinopsida; Cupressales; Cupressaceae. The transcript has 3 exons.
GGAAGUCACAAGGCAGUGCCUCUAUUUGUAUUUUUACUUUUAUCUUUUUCUGUUCAGGGAUGGACAACCUUGCAAAUGACUAAAGAAUCUUCAAUGUUGAAUGGAGGACGAAUGAUGUCUGCAAGGACCGUUAUGGGUAUCUUAUCUGAAAUAUGGCCUCCAUCUGCCGGUUAAGUCGGGAAGAUUAAAUCGAUCAGUGAUAGAGAUGUUGAAGGAACAGUCUUUGAUUUGCCAGAUGAUGUUGCAAAAGAGCUUCUUUUGAAGAAGAUACAACCAGGUUAUACGAUAUCAGCAAUCAUCGAGUCUUCAUAGGUCAUGUUUUCAAGAGCAGGCAGAAGCUGUUGGAUUAUUGGUUGUUCAAUAGAACAAUGGAUAGCUUGAUUGCUGUCAGGUGUGAUAGUUGCGCUGAGAUGGAGAGAGUAUUUGUAAUUGAUAUCUUUAUCACAUAUUGUGCAAUGGGUAGUUUCUUCUUCAAGCAUUCCGUAGUCAUCGAACUUGUAGUUGCAUUUGGGGCAAUAUGCAUGAAAUGGAUUGGAAAAAGGAUUUAUUACUUUUAAGAUCCCAUGAACCUACAAGAUAAGUUUAAUUGUUAGCAAGAGGAAAAAAUAUUAUUAUAAAUUGAAGAGUAGAAUUGUGUGGAAAUAAGUACCUGAAAUGUUGUAUGUAGUAGUGCAUUGAGUCUGUCAAUUGUUCUUUUAUCAUUCAAUCUGCAUAUAGUUGUUGAUAAACUUGUCCGAAGUGUGUUUUUUAAAUCUGUUCUUUUAACAACGUUUCUAAA